This 199-nucleotide long non-coding RNA is filed under the name Lathyrus oleraceus (garden pea). RNAcentral's name for it is "Pisum sativum (pea) long non-coding RNA (PSAT_LNC032817)". Lineage: Eukaryota; Viridiplantae; Streptophyta; Magnoliopsida; Fabales; Fabaceae. The record is from RNAcentral.
AUGGCCCUUAGCGCAAUUGUUCUCCCAAGCCAAUGAGAGAACCUAAGCUAACCUAAUAAUGAUCUAAGCUUCUCAAAGCAAGAUCUUCAAGGUUGUCCUCCUUUGAUAUUGUAUUCUUAUCUUUCUUCAAAAUAUUACAUUACAUAAAAGAAACCCGUUUUACAUACGAGGGAGUGAGAUGAGAAAAGAAGUUACAUCA